CCCAGACUCCUACGGGAGGCAGCAGUGGGGAAUAUUGGGCAAUGGGCGCAAGCCUGACCCAGCAACGCCGCGUGAAGGAAGAAGGCUUUCGGGUUGCAAACUUCUUUUCUCAGGGACGAAGCAAGUGACGGUACCUGAGGAAUAAGCCACGGCUAACUACGUGCCAGCAGCCGCGGUAAUACGUAGGUGGCAGGCGUUAUCCGGAUUUACUGGGUGUAAAGGGCGUGUAGGCGGGAAAGCAAGUCAGAUGUGAAAACCAUGGGCUCAACCUGUGGCCUGCAUUUGAAACUGUUUUUCUUGAGUACUGGAGAGGCAGACGGAAUUCCUAGUGUAGCGGUGAAAUGCGUAGAUAUUAGGAGGAACACCAGUUGCGAAGGCGGCUCUCUGGACUGUAACUGACACUGAGGCACGAAAGCGUGGGGAGCAAACAGGAUUAGAUACCCUAGUA
Molecule: ribosomal RNA, 448 nt
Filed under: uncultured bacterium
Lineage: Bacteria
Description: partial 16S ribosomal RNA
Rfam family: Bacterial small subunit ribosomal RNA
Source: RNAcentral